GUGCUCACUUCAGCAGCACUUGUACUAAAGUUGGAACAAUACAGAGAAGGUUAGCGUGGCCCCUGUGUCAUCAGGAUGACAAGCAAAUUCGUGCAGUGUUCCAUAUUUUU
Molecule: small nuclear RNA, 110 nt
Organism: Ailuropoda melanoleuca (giant panda)
Lineage: Eukaryota; Metazoa; Chordata; Mammalia; Carnivora; Ursidae
Source: Ensembl